This 865-nucleotide ribosomal RNA is filed under the name Stenotrophomonas maltophilia. RNAcentral describes it as "bacterial LSU rRNA". It matches the Rfam family "Bacterial large subunit ribosomal RNA", at positions 1 to 917 of the family's 2925-position model. Lineage: Bacteria; Pseudomonadati; Pseudomonadota; Gammaproteobacteria; Lysobacterales; Lysobacteraceae. The record is from RNAcentral.
GUUAUAUGGUCAAGCGAAUAAGCGCACACGGUGGAUGCCUUGGCGGUCAGAGGCGAUGAAGGACGUGGCAGCCUGCGAAAAGUAUCGGGGAGCUGGCAACAAGCUUUGAUCCGGUAAUGUCCGAAUGGGGAAACCCACCCGCUUGCGGGUAUCCUGCAGUGAAUACAUAGCUGCUGGAAGCGAACCUGGUGAACUGAAAUAUCUAAGUAACCAGAGGAAAAGAAAUCAACCGAGAUUCCGUAAGUAGCGACGAGCGAACGCGGACUAGCCCUUAAGCUGAUUUGGUUCUAGGAAAACACUCUGGAAAGAGUGGCCAUAGAAGGUGAUAGCCCUGUAUCUGAAAGGGCCAUUUCAGUGAAGACGAGUAGGGCGGGGCACGUGAAACCCUGUCUGAACAUGGGGGGACCAUCCUCCAAGGCUAAAUACUACUGACCGACCGAUAGUGAACCAGUACCGUGAGGGAAAGGCGAAAAGAACCCCGGAGAGGGGAGUGAAAUAGAACCUGAAACCGUGUGCGUACAAGCAGUAGGAGCUCCGCAAGGAGUGACUGCGUACCUUUUGUAUAAUGGGUCAGCGACUUACUGUUCGUGGCAAGCUUAACCGUAUAGGGGAGGCGAAGGGAAACCGAGUCUGAUAAGGGCGCAUAGUCGCGGGCAGUAGACCCGAAACCGGGUGAUCUAGUCAUGCCCAGGGUGAAGGUGCGGUAACACGCACUGGAGGCCCGAACCCACUCCCGUUGCAAAGGUAGGGGAUGAGGUGUGAUUAGGAGUGAAAAGCUAAUCGAACCCGGAGAUAGCUGGUUCUCCUCGAAAGCUAUUUAGGUAGCGCCUCAUAUGUAUCCUCUCGGGGGUAGAGCACUGUUAUG